This 467-nucleotide ribosomal RNA is filed under the name uncultured bacterium. RNAcentral describes it as "partial 16S ribosomal RNA". It matches the Rfam family "Bacterial small subunit ribosomal RNA", at positions 28 to 506 of the family's 1533-position model. The record is from RNAcentral.
GACGAACGCUGGCGGCGUGCUUAACACAUGCAAGUCGAACGGAAAGGCCCUGCUUUUGUGGGGUGCUCGAGUGGCGAACGGGUGAGUAACACGUGAGUAACCUGCCCUUGACUUUGGGAUAACUUCAGGAAACUGGGGCUAAUACCGGAUAGGAGCUCCUGCUGCAUGGUGGGGGUUGGAAAGUUUCGGCGGUUGGGGAUGGACUCGCGGCUUAUCAGCUUGUUGGUGGGGUAGUGGCUUACCAAGGCUUUGACGGGUAGCCGGCCUGAGAGGGUGACCGGCCACAUUGGGACUGAGAUACGGCCCAGACUCCUACGGGAGGCAACAGUGGGGAAUAUUGCACAAUGGGCGGAAGCCUGAAGCAGCAACGCCGCGUGCGGGAUGACGGCCUUCGGGUUGUAAACCGCUUUCGCCUGUGACGAAGCGUGAGUGACGGUAAUGGGUAAAGAAGCACCGGCUAACUACGU